Molecule: ribosomal RNA, 253 nt
Filed under: uncultured bacterium
Lineage: Bacteria
Description: partial 16S ribosomal RNA
Rfam family: Bacterial small subunit ribosomal RNA
Source: RNAcentral
UACGAAGGGGGCUAGCGUUGUUCGGAAUUACUGGGCGUAAAGGGCGCGUAGGCGGUACUUCAAGUCAGGCGUGAAAGCCCCGGGCUCAAACUGGGAACCGCGCUUGAGACUGGAGAACUAGAGUUCGGGAGAGGAUGGUGGAAUUCCCAGUGUAGAGGUGAAAUUCGUAGAUAUUGGGAAGAACACCGAUGGCGAAGGCAGCCAUCUGGACCGACACUGACGCUGAGGCGCGAAAGCGUGGGGAGCAAACAGG